GAUGAACGCUGGCGGCGUGCUUAACACAUGCAAGUCGAGGGGCAUCAGGAAGAAAGCUUGCUUUCUUUGCUGGCGACCGGCGCACGGGUGAGUAACACGUAUCCAACCUGCCCUUUACUCGGGGAUAGCCUUUCGAAAGAAAGAUUAAUACCCGAUAGCAUAAUGAUUCCGCAUGGUUUCAUUGUUAAAGGAUUCCGGUAGAGGAUGGGGAUGCGCUCCAUUAGGUUGUUGGUGAGGUAACGGCUCACCAAGCCUUCGAUGGAUAGGGGUUCUGAGAGGAAGGUCCCCCACAUUGGAACUGAGACACGGCCCUU
This 314-nucleotide ribosomal RNA is filed under the name uncultured bacterium. RNAcentral describes it as "bacterial SSU rRNA". It matches the Rfam family "Bacterial small subunit ribosomal RNA", at positions 28 to 334 of the family's 1533-position model. The record is from RNAcentral.